CGCUAGCGGGAUGCCUUACACAUGCAAGUCGAACGGCAGCACGGACUUCGGUCUGGUGGCGAGUGGCGAACGGGUGAGUAAUGUAUCGGAACGUGCCUAGUAGCGGGGGAUAACUACGCGAAAGCGUAGCUAAUACCGCAUACGCCCUACGGGGGAAAGCAGGGGAUCGCAAGACCUUGCACUAUUAGAGCGGCCGAUAUCGGAUUAGCUAGUUGGUGGGGUAACGGCUCACCAAGGCGACGAUCCGUAGCUGGUUUGAGAGGACGACCAGCCACACUGGGACUGAGACACGGCCCAGACUCCUACGGGAGGCAGCAGUGGGGAAUUUUGGACAAUGGGGGAAACCCUGAUCCAGCCAUCCCGCGUGUGCGAUGAAGGCCUUCGGGUUGUAAAGCACUUUUGGCAGGAAAGAAACGUCAUGGGUUAAUACCCCGUGAAACUGACGGUACCUGCAGAAUAAGCACCGGCUAACUACGUGCCAGCAGCCGCGGUAAUACGUAGGGUGCAAGCGUUAAUCGGAAUUACUGGGCGUAAAGCGUGCGCAGGCGGUUCGGAAAGAAAGAUGUGAAAUCCCAGAGCUUAACUUUGGAACUGCAU
Molecule: ribosomal RNA, 597 nt
Filed under: uncultured bacterium
Lineage: Bacteria
Description: bacterial SSU rRNA
Rfam family: Bacterial small subunit ribosomal RNA
Source: RNAcentral